RNAcentral lists this ribosomal RNA (930 nucleotides) under Candidatus Mycoplasma haematominutum. Its description in RNAcentral is "bacterial SSU rRNA". It matches the Rfam family "Bacterial small subunit ribosomal RNA", at positions 17 to 944 of the family's 1533-position model. Lineage: Bacteria; Bacillati; Mycoplasmatota; Mollicutes; Mycoplasmatales; Mycoplasmataceae. The record is from RNAcentral.
UCCUGGCUCAGGAUUAAUGCUGGUGGUAUGCAUAACACAUGCAAGUCGAACGAAGAGGGUUUACUCUCUUAGUGGCGAACGGGCGAGUAACACAUAUUUAACUUACCUGCACGAGGAGAAUAGCAACUCGAAAGAGUUAUUAAUACUCCAUAGGUUUGAGACUCAAAUUAAAGGGAGCGUUCUGGGAAACUAGAGCUUCGCGAGCAGAGAGGAGUAUGUCCUAUUAGGUUGUUGGUGGGGUAAUUGCCUACCAAGCCGAUGAUGGGUAGCUGGACUGAGAGGUCGACCAGCCGCAAUGGGAUUGAAAUACGGCCCAUAUUCCUACGGGAAGCAGCAGUGAGGAAUUUUUCACAAUGGACGAAAGUCUGAUGGAGCAAUACCAUGUGAACGAUGAAGGUCUUCUGAUUGUAAAGUUCUUUUAUUUAGGAAAAAAAAGCUUGAUAGGAAAUGAUUAAGCCUUGAUUGUACUAAAUGAAUAAGUGACAGCUAACUAUGUGCCAGCAGCUGCGGUAAAACAUAGGUCACGAGCAUUAUCCGGAUUUAUUGGGCGUAAAGGAAGCGUAGGCGGACAAAUUGAUCUAUUGUUAAAGGCACUUGCUCAACGAGUUGUUUGUGAUAGAUAUCGUUUGUCUAGAAUUAGUUAGGAGAUACUGGAAUUCAAUGUGUAGCGGUGGAAUGCGUAGAUAUAUUGAGGAACACCAGAGGCUAAGGCGAGUAUCUAGGACAUAAUUGACGCUGAGGCUUGAAAGCGUGGGGAGCAAAUGGGAUUAGAUACCCCAGUAGUCCACGCCGUAAACGAUGGGUAUUAGGUAUUUGGUCUAGGACUGAGUGCUGUAGCUAACGCGUUAAAUACCCCGCCUGGGUAGUAUAUAUGCAAAUAUGAAACUCAAAGAAAUUGACGGGGACCUGAACAAGUGGUGGAGCAUGUUG